This 253-nucleotide ribosomal RNA is filed under the name uncultured bacterium. RNAcentral's name for it is "partial 16S ribosomal RNA". It matches the Rfam family "Bacterial small subunit ribosomal RNA", at positions 524 to 776 of the family's 1533-position model. The record is from RNAcentral.
UACGUAGGGAGCAAGCGUUGUCCGGAAUCAUUGGGCGUAAAGCGCGCGUAGGUGGCUUCGUAAGUCCGUUGUGAAAGUCAAAGGCUCAACCUUUGAAAGCCGAUGGAUACUGUGGAGCUAGAGUACGGAAGAGGCGAGUGGAAUUCCUGGUGUAGCGGUGAAAUGCGCAGAUAUCAGGAGGAACACCGGUGGCGAAGGCGGUGCUCUGGGCCGGAACUGACGCUGAGGAGCGAAAGCGUGGGGAGCGAACAGG